GAAAGAGCGGGUGGGGGAGGGGGACUGCGCGUCACUCACUGUUCUGCCCCCCUCCCCCGCACAG
This 64-nucleotide microRNA precursor is filed under the name Mus spretus (western wild mouse). Its description in RNAcentral is "microRNA 7045 (ENSMSPG00010044208.1)". The record is from RNAcentral. Lineage: Eukaryota; Metazoa; Chordata; Mammalia; Rodentia; Muridae.